Amphiprion ocellaris (clown anemonefish) is the source of this 1417-nucleotide long non-coding RNA. Lineage: Eukaryota; Metazoa; Chordata; Actinopteri; Pomacentridae. The record is from Ensembl.
UAACCAUCACAACCAUCCUUCAGCAUGCAGGACAUGAUUUAUUUCAAGAAUCCACAAUCCAGCUGGAUUUUAUGAGACUUUACACACAAACUAUAAAUCAUAUCAUAGACUCAAAAGCAUUUUAUUUCCAUUCCCACCUGCGAAAACAAGGGAACACGACUGGCGAAAGUAAUCCACAAAAAAAGUACCAGUCUUUCUGCCAAAUUGCAACAAUAUCAUGCUUUUUAUUAUAUAAACAUAAUUUAGAAAAAAAGACUAUUCUUCUUUUUCAAAAAGCUGUUAUUUGUCUCUUCCUUCAUUGUAUUCAUAGCUGAUGCAGACUACAACAGUAUCAUCCAAAGAAAAUGUACACUGACCUUCCCAAUACAAAAAUUUGUUCAUGAAACUGAAAACAUCCUUAAAGUAAAUUAAAAAAAAAAAACACUAAGAUGAACAAGCAAUCAAGAACAUCUUCUUGUACAAGCUCUGAAUGAAGAGACUGUGGAAAUAGAACUAGACUGGGGUUCGGAUUGUCUCAUAUCUGACUAAUGAUUGGUUUGAUUAUCUAAAUGGUCACAGUCUAGGUCAAAUCAAGUACUAACAUCUGUCUGUUUCCAAAUGAGAACAAGCUGCAAAACACUGGCAGAUUAUCAAUGUAAAAAUAUAGAUCCCUGGAAUCAAUUCUGCUGGCAAAAUCUUAACCAUGAUUAAUCAUAAAAGCCCUGCUGUGUCUGUGCUUCUACAUCAGCAUUAUGCACAUAUUGAAUAUUGAAAUAGCAGCUUGUCUCUACUUAUUGUCUGCUUUUGAAUUUCAGUGGCUAUUGCUCUUUGGCAGUGUCCUAGCUCUUACUUUUUGUAGUGUACUGUGCUCUAUUCUUGUUGUGAAUUGAGGUGGUGUGUUGGUGUGUAAAGGGCAAUCAUAUUACUCUGAAACAUGGACAGAUUAGUCAGUGGGCCGACCGGGCAUACACGCAGGGGCCCAAGGAGUCUGGGGGCCCCUGGUUUCAUCCUAAAAUUAUAAUACAUAUCGCAGAAAGAGACACGAAACAACCAACAUGAGACACAAAAAAUGACCAAAGAGGACAAAAACAAUCACAGCGAUUUGAAGGACAACUACAAAACAGAUGUAAAAUGGCUAAAAAGAAAUAUAAAACAACCAAAAUGUGGCACAAAAUGACCAAAAGUGGACAAAAACAACUACUACAACUAUAAAGAGAUGCAAAAAAUACCACAAUGAGACACUAAUGGAUAAUAACAGAUGCAAAAGUAUCAAAAUGAGUGUGACAAAAACCCAAAUCUGACACAAAAUGAACUUGAGGAGAUGGAAUGGCUACAAGAAGAUACAAAAUGACCAGACACACAAAGGCCACAAAGAGAUGCAAAACACUAAUUAACAACAAAACAACCAAAAUGUGACACAAAAUGACAACAAAUUGAC